UCCCCGUUAACCGGGGCAGUCCCCCUAGAGUUCCCGGCAUGACCCGUUGGCAACUAGGGGCGAGGGUUGCGCUCGUUGCGGGACUUAACCCAACAUCUCACGACACGAGCUGACGACAGCCAUGCACCACCUGUAUACCGACCACAAGGGGGGCCGUAUCUCUACGGCUUUCCGGUAUAUGUCAAACCCAGGUAAGGUGGGGAUGACGUUAGGAUAG
RNAcentral lists this unclassified non-coding RNA (217 nucleotides) under uncultured bacterium. RNAcentral describes it as "contains 16S-23S intergenic spacer region". The record is from RNAcentral.